GUUGGUGGGUAAAGGCCUACCAAGGCGACGAUCUGUAGCUGGUCUGAGAGGACGACCAGCCACACUGGGACUGAGACACGGCCCAGACUCCUACGCGAGGCAGCAGUGGGGAAUUUUAGACAAUGGGGGAAACCCUGAUCCAGCAAAUGCCGCGUGUGUGAAGAAGGCCUUCGGGUUGUAAAGCACUUUUGUUCCGGAAAGAAACCUUUGCACUAAUACUGUGAG
RNAcentral lists this ribosomal RNA (225 nucleotides) under uncultured bacterium. Its description in RNAcentral is "partial 16S ribosomal RNA". It matches the Rfam family "Bacterial small subunit ribosomal RNA", at positions 248 to 467 of the family's 1533-position model. The record is from RNAcentral.